AACCUACCCUUAUCUGGGAGAUACACUUGGGAAACUGAGCUCAAUACCCCAUAGCUCUAAUUUUCUGGAAUGAUUUUAGAGUAAAAGCUACGGCGGAUAAGGAUGGGACUGCACGCUAUCAGGCUGUUGAUGGUGUAAAGAACCAUCAAACCGAUAACGGCUACGGGCUAUGGGAGUAGAAGCCCGGAGAUGGACUCUGAGACAUGAGUCCAGGUCUUACGAGACGCAGCAGGCGCGAAAACUUUGCAAUUCGCUAACGCGAGACAAGGGAACUUGGAGUGUUCUUGCUAUGCAAGAACUUUUAUCUUCUGAAAACAGGAAGGUGAAUAAGGUCUGGGGAACACGGGUGCCAGCCACCGCGGUAAUACCCGGGGACCGAGUGAUGGCCAGUAUUAUUUGGUCUAAAGCGUCCGUAGCCGGUUCAACAAGUCCCUAGUGAAAUCUUUCAGCAAACUGAAAGGCGUGCUUGGGAUACUUUUGAACUUGAGACUGAGAGGGGAUAGGGAUACUCUCAGGGUAGGGGUAAAAUCCUGUAAUCCUGAGAGGAUCACCAGUGGCGAAGGCGCCUAUCUGGAACAGGUCUGACGGUGAGGGGCGAAGGCUAGGGGAGCGAUUGGGAUUAGAUACCCCAGUAGUCCUAGCAGUAAACGAUGCCCGCUUGGUGUUGCAGGCUUUCUCG
RNAcentral lists this ribosomal RNA (679 nucleotides) under uncultured archaeon. RNAcentral's name for it is "bacterial SSU rRNA". It matches the Rfam family "Archaeal small subunit ribosomal RNA", at positions 106 to 788 of the family's 1478-position model. The record is from RNAcentral.